GAUGAACGCUGGCGGCGUGCCUAAUACAUGCAAGUCGAGCGAACAGACGAGGAGCUUGCUCCUCUGACGUUAGCGGCGGACGGGUGAGUAACACGUGGAUAACCUACCUAUAAGACUGGGAUAACUUCGGGAAACCGGAGCUAAUACCGGAUAAUAUCUUUAACCGCAUGGUUCAAUAGUGAAAGACGGUUUUGCUUCCCUUUAUAGAUGGAUCCGCGCCUCUUUAGCAAGUUGGUAAGGUAACGGCUUACCAAGGCAACGAUGCGAAGCCGACCUGAGAGGGUGAUCGGCCACACUGGAACUGAGACACGGUCCAGACUCCUACGGAAGGCAGCAGUAGGGAAUCUUCCGCAAUGGGCGAAAGCCUGACGGAGCAAGGCCGCGUGAGUGAGGAAGGUCUUGGGAUCGUAAAACUCUGUUAUUAGGGAAAAACAAAUGUGUAAGUAACUAUGCACGUCUUGACGGUACCUAAUCAGAAAGCCACGGCUAACUACGUG
Molecule: ribosomal RNA, 497 nt
Filed under: uncultured bacterium
Lineage: Bacteria
Description: partial 16S ribosomal RNA
Rfam family: Bacterial small subunit ribosomal RNA
Source: RNAcentral